RNAcentral lists this ribosomal RNA (466 nucleotides) under uncultured bacterium. RNAcentral's name for it is "partial 16S ribosomal RNA". It matches the Rfam family "Bacterial small subunit ribosomal RNA", at positions 28 to 523 of the family's 1533-position model. The record is from RNAcentral.
GAUGAACGCUGGCGGCGUGCCUAACACAUGCAAGUCGAGCGAUUCUCUUCGGAGAAGAGCGGCGGACGGGUGAGUAACGCGUGGGUAACCUGCCCGUACACACGGAUAACAUACCGAAAGGUAUGCUAAUACGGGAUAAUAUGCUUUUAUCGCAUGGUAGAAGUAUCAAAGUUUUUGCGGUACAGGAUGGACCCGCGUCUGAUUAGCUAGUUGGUAGGUAACGGCUUACCAAGGCGACGAUCAGUAGCCGACCUGAGAGGGUGAUCGGCCACAUUGGAACUGAGACACGGUCCAAGCUCCUACGGGAGGCAGCAGUGGGGAAUAUUGCACAAUGGGCGAAAGCCUGAUGCAGCAACGCCGCGUGAGCGAUGAAGGCCUUCGGGUCGUAAAGCUCUGUCCUCAAGGAAGAUAAUGACGGUACUUGAGGAGGAAGCCCCGGCUAACUACGUGCCAGCCGCCGCCGUAA